GCGGAAAAGAGCCUCGGGCCAGGAGCGCAGGAACCAGACCGUGUCCCGCGGGGCUGUCACCUCCGCCUCUGCUCCCCGACCCGGCCAUGCGCGGCCUCGGGCUCUGGCUGCUGGGCGCGAUGAUGCUGCCUGGGCCUGCACCCAGAGAGGGUGAGCUACGUCCUUGGGGCCACAGGGCACAACUUCACCCUCCACCUGCGGAAGAACAGGGACCUGCUGGGCUCCGGCUACACAGAGACCUAUACGGCUGCCAAUGGCUCCGAGGUGACGGAGCAGCCUCGCGGGCAGGACCACUGCUUCUACCAGGGCCACGUAGAGGGGUACCCGGACUCAGCCGCCAGCCUCAGCACCUGUGCCGGCCUCAGGUGGGGUCAGACCUGCACCUGAUCGAGCCCCUGGAUGAAGGUGGCGAGGGCGGACGGCACGCCGUGUACCAGGCUGAGCACCUGCUGCAGACGGCCGGGACCUGCGGGGUCAGCGACGACAGCCUGGGCAGCCUCCUGGGACCCCGGACGGCAGCCGUCUUCAGGCCUCGGCCCGGGGACUCUCUGCCAUCCCGAGAGACCCGCUACGUGGAGCUGUAUGUGGUCGUGGACAAUGCAGAGUUCCAGAUGCUGGGGAGCGAAGCAGCCGUGCGUCAUCGGGUGCUGGAGGUGGUGAAUCACGUGGACAAGCUAUAUCAGAAACUCAACUUCCGUGUGGUCCUGGUGGGCCUGGAGAUUUGGAAUAGUCAGGACAGGUUCCACGUCAGCCCCGACCCCAGUGUCACACUGGAGAACCUCCUGACCUGGCAGGCACGGCAACGGACACGGCGGCACCUGCAUGACAACGUACAGCUCAUCACGGGUGUCGACUUCACCGGGACUACCGUGGGGUUUGCCAGGGUGUCCGCCAUGUGCUCCCACAGCUCAGGGGCUGUGAACCAGGACCACAGCAAGAACCCCGUGGGCGUGGCCUGUACCAUGGCCCAUGAGAUGGGCCACAACCUGGGCAUGGACCAUGAUGAGAACGUCCAGGGCUGCCGCUGCCAGGAACGCUUCGAGGCCGGCCGCUGCAUCAUGGCGGGCAGCAUUGGCUCCAGUUUCCCCAGGAUGUUCAGUGACUGCAGCCAGGCCUACCUGGAGAGCUUUUUGGAGCGGCCGCAGUCGGUGUGCCUCGCCAACGCCCCUGACCUCAGCCACCUGGUGGGCGGCCCCGUGUGUGGGAACCUGUUUGUGGAGCGUGGGGAGCAGUGCGACUGCGGCCCCCCCGAGGACUGCCGGAACCGCUGCUGCAACUCUACCACCUGCCAGCUGGCUGAGGGGGCCCAGUGUGCGCACGGUACCUGCUGCCAGGAGUGCAAGGUGAAGCCGGCUGGUGAGCUGUGCCGUCCCAAGAAGGACAUGUGUGACCUCGAGGAGUUCUGUGACGGCCGGCACCCUGAGUGCCCGGAAGACGCCUUCCAGGAGAACGGCACGCCCUGCUCCGGGGGCUACUGCUACAACGGGGCCUGUCCCACACUGGCCCAGCAGUGCCAGGCCUUCUGGGGGCCAGGUGGGCAGGCUGCCGAGGAGUCCUGCUUCUCCUAUGACAUCCUACCAGGCUGCAAGGCCAGCCGGUACAGGGCUGACAUGUGUGGCGUUCUGCAGUGCAAGGGUGGGCAGCAGCCCCUGGGGCGUGCCAUCUGCAUCGUGGAUGUGUGCCACGCGCUCACCACAGAGGAUGGCACUGCGUAUGAACCAGUGCCCGAGGGCACCCGGUGUGGACCAGAGAAGGUGUGCAACCACAAGCAGGAGUGCCACUGCCACGCGGGCUGGGCCCCGCCCCACUGCGCGAAGCUGCUGACUGAGGUGCACGCAGCGUCCGGGAGCCUCCCCGUCUUCGUGGUGGUGGUUCUGGUGCUCCUGGCAGUUGUGCUGGUCACCCUGGCAGGCAUCAUCGUCUACCGCAAAGCCCGGAGCCGCAUCCUGAGCAGGAACGUGGCUCCCAAGACCACAAUGGGGCGCUCCAACCCCCUGUUCCACCAGGCUGCCAGCCGCGUGCCGGCCAAGGGCGGGGCUCCAGCCCCAUCCAGGGGCCCCCAAGAGCUGGUCCCCACCACCCACCCGGGCCAGCCCGCCCGACACCCGGCCUCCUCGGUGGCUCUGAAGAGGCCGCCCCCUGCUCCUCCGGUCACUGUGUCCAGCCCACCCUUCCCAGUUCCUGUCUACACCCGGCAGGCACCAAAGCAGGGUGCUGUUGGCCCAAAGGUUGCCCUGAAGCCCCCCAUCCAGAGGAAGCAAGGAGCCGGAGCUCCCACAGCACCCUAGGGGGGCACCUGCGCCUGUGUGGAAAUUUGGAGAAGUUGCGGCAGAGAAGCCAUGCGUUCCAGCAUUCCACGGUCCAGCUAGUGCCGCUCAGCCCUAGACCCUGACUUUGCAGGCUCAGCUGCUGUUCUAACCUCAGGAAUGCAUCUACCUGAGAGGCUCCUGCUGUCCACGCCCUCAGCCAAUUCCUUCUCCCCGCCUUGGCCACGUGUAGCCCCAGCUGUCUGCAGGCACCAGGCUGGGAUGAGCUGUGUGCUUGCGGGUGCGUGUGUGUGUACGUGUCUCCAGGUGGCCGCUGGUCUCCCGCUGUGUUCAGGAGGCCACAUAUACAGCCCCUCCCAGCCACACCUGCCCCUGCUCUGGGGCCUGCUGAGCCGGCUGCCCUGGGCACCCGGUUCCAGGCAGCACAGACGUGGGGCAUCCCCAGAAAGACUCCAUCCCAGGACCAGGUUCCCCUGCGUGCUCUUCGAGAGGGUGUCAGUGAGCAGACUGCACCCCAAGCUCCCGACUCCAGGUCCCCUGAUCUUGGGGCCUGUUUCCCAUGGGAUUCAAGAGGGACAGCCCCAGCUUUGUGUGUGUUUAAGCUUAGGAAUCGCCUUUAUGGAAAGGGCUAUGUGGGAGAGUCAGCUAUCUUGUCUGGUUUUCUUGAGACCUCAGAUGUGUGUUCAGCAGGGCUGAAAGCUUUUAUUCUUUAAUAAUGAGAAAUGUAUAUUUUACUAAUAAAUUAUUGACCGAGUUCUGU
This 3027-nucleotide long non-coding RNA is filed under the name Homo sapiens (human). Its description in RNAcentral is "non-protein coding lnc-ADAM8-1:6". Lineage: Eukaryota; Metazoa; Chordata; Mammalia; Primates; Hominidae. The record is from RNAcentral.